CCCUACGGGGCGCAGCAGUGGGGGAUAUUGCACAAUGGGGGGAACCCUGAUGCAGCGACGCCGCGUGGGUGAAGAAGCGCCUCGGCGCGUAAAGCCCUGUCAGCAGGGAAGAAAAUGACGGUACCUGAAGAAGAAGCCCCGGCUAACUACGUGCCAGCAGCCGCGGUAAUACGUAGGGGGCAAGCGUUAUCCGGAUUUACUGGGUGUAAAGGGGGCGCAGACGGCGAUGCAAGCCAGGAGUGAAAGCCCGGGGCCCAACCCCGGGACUGCUCUUGGAACUGUAAGGCUAGAGUGUCGGAGAGGCG
Molecule: ribosomal RNA, 305 nt
Filed under: uncultured bacterium
Lineage: Bacteria
Description: bacterial SSU rRNA
Rfam family: Bacterial small subunit ribosomal RNA
Source: RNAcentral